UUGCAGCCCGAAUUGAACGGAAAUCCUUUUUUGCUUGUGGUAUAUUUCAAUUAGCAAGAAAGUGAAGCAAAAAAGAUUGGGAGUGGAAGGCGGAUACAGC
This 100-nucleotide small RNA is filed under the name Chryseobacterium sp. Leaf394. RNAcentral's name for it is "Flavo-1 RNA". It matches the Rfam family "Flavo-1 RNA". The record is from Rfam by way of RNAcentral. Lineage: Bacteria; Pseudomonadati; Bacteroidota; Flavobacteriia; Flavobacteriales; Weeksellaceae.